UACGUAGGGUGCGAGCGUUGUCCGGAAUUAUUGGGCGUAAAGAGCUCGUAGGCGGUGUGUCACGUCGGCCGUGAAAACCUGCAGCUUAACUGUGGGCGUGCGGUCGAUACGGGCAUCACUGGAGUUCGGCAGGGGAGACUGGAAUUCCUGGUGUGGCGGUGAAAUGCGCAGAUAUCAGGAGGAACACCGGUGGCGAAGGCGGGGUCUCUGGGCAGUAACUGACGCUGAGGAGCGAAAGCGUGGGGAGCGAACAGG
This 255-nucleotide ribosomal RNA is filed under the name uncultured bacterium. RNAcentral describes it as "partial 16S ribosomal RNA". It matches the Rfam family "Bacterial small subunit ribosomal RNA", at positions 524 to 776 of the family's 1533-position model. The record is from RNAcentral.